UACGUAGGGGGCAAGCGUUGUCCGGAAUCAUUGGGCGUAAAGAGCGUGUAGGCGGUUCAGUAAGUCUGCUGUGAAAGUCCAGGGCUCAACCCUGGGAUGCCGGUGGAUACUGCUGGGCUAGAGUACGGAAGAGGCGAGUGGAAUUCCCGGUGUAGCGGUGAAAUGCGCAGAUAUCGGGAGGAACACCAGUAGCGAAGGCGGCACUCUGGGCCGGUACUGACGCUGAGGAGCGAAAGCGUGGGGAGCGAACAGG
Molecule: ribosomal RNA, 253 nt
Filed under: uncultured bacterium
Lineage: Bacteria
Description: partial 16S ribosomal RNA
Rfam family: Bacterial small subunit ribosomal RNA
Source: RNAcentral